GCCAGGCGUGGUGGUGCAUGCCUGUAAUCCCAGCUACUCGGGAGGCUGAGUCAGGAGAAUUGCUUGAACCCAGGAAGCGGAGUUUGCAGUGAGCCAAGAUUGCACCACCGCACUCCAGCCUGGGUGACAGAGCGAGACUCUGUCUCAA
Molecule: non-coding RNA, 148 nt
Filed under: Pan troglodytes (chimpanzee)
Lineage: Eukaryota; Metazoa; Chordata; Mammalia; Primates; Hominidae
Source: Rfam by way of RNAcentral